UAAUAAAUCAUAACAUAUUCAAAAACUUUUGUUUCUUCAUUUAGGACAAAAGUUUUGUUACAUUUGUUGAAUAAUCAUGGAGAAUAAUAGCUCUCUCAAGCUUGUUUUCUUGGUUGUUCUUUUAAUGGCAGCCUCAGGUAAGGACAACUUAUCAUUUUAUGCACACACAAUACAUGCAUUUCGAAUUCUUCUUCGGAUGAACAACAGAAUUUGUAUGUCCCUAAAAUUUGGUUUGGCUAGCGGAAUGUUAAAUGAGAUUUUAAACAUUUUUUCGUUUAGACGGAAAAAUCAUAUUCUUACAAAGUGAUUUUAGAUAACCAACUUUCUCAGAGUUUUUCUUUUUGUAUUUUCCUAUUAGUUGCGUAGAGAAGAAAAUCUCCCCUUCUUAGGGAUAUUAUUUGGUUUAUAUAUGGUUUGAUGGAAUUUUUUUAUAGACAUAAUUUAAUUAGAAAUAUCCUAGAUGGUUAGCUUGAAAGCUAAAUAACAGUUGGUGGUUAUUCCCCGUUUUGUACCGUAAAACGCGGACGAUUAGUUCCCUAACACGGUGUAAAAAGAGGAAUGAUUACAUGCCGUUAUUUACAUUUCAAGCGAGCCUUUUAAGUUAUUUCCAAUUAAAUCAUCAUAGAAAGACAUUUCAAAUUAUCUUAUAUGUUAAAUAAGAUCGAUGGUUGAGAUUAUAUUUUCGAAACCCUACCUCUAUCGAAACAUCGGGAUAAAACAUUAAGAGUAUGUUUUUUGUGUAAAGAAACCCAUAAAGGAGUUUUUAUUUCUUAAAAACCCCUCUACAAAUAGAUGUAUGCCGCUUCUUUUAAGCAUUACCUCAAUAGUUCACUAUGUACUCGCUGAAAGACUGUGUAUGUAAUGUUGCGGUAUAGGGUUGUAGUUGUGACGUCAGCCUAACGGGUCGAGCACAUCACUUCUUAAAUUGAUCGACUAUCGAGUUUUUAAUGUGUGUAAAUGUAAUACAAAUAUUUGUGUAGGCAUACCAUCCACAACCACGAUAAUGGUGGCAGAUGCUCUGACUAUGCCCAAGACAUGUAACACUGUUGCAGAUUGCCGUAAGAAGUGCUUCAUUAGGAAGAAGAAAUGUGAGAAUGGUAUGUGUGUCUGUUCAUUUUAACUCCAGGGAGAGGAAUUAAUUAAACAAAUGGAAAAUAAUUUUUUUAUGUUCAUUUUUUCAAUUUUAUUUUCUUUCUAAAUACCCAACAAUUGUAAUUUGUACAAUCCUUAUGUAUACAAAACCAAUGUAAUAUAAACACUUGAAUUCUACAUAUAAAAAAUGUAAAAAAAUGAGAAAAACGUUCUCUAUACUCGAAUCCACUCUAUUAAGG
Molecule: long non-coding RNA, 1331 nt
Filed under: Linum usitatissimum (flax)
Lineage: Eukaryota; Viridiplantae; Streptophyta; Magnoliopsida; Malpighiales; Linaceae
Description: long non-coding RNA (LUSI_LNC006059)
Source: RNAcentral